CAAUAGCGUAUAUUUAAGUUGCUGCAGUUAAAAAGCUCGUAGUUGGAUUUCGGGUGGGAAUGGCCGGUCCGCCGUUUCGGUGUGCACUUGCUACGCCCACCUUGCUGCCGGGGACGUGCUCUUGAGUUCACGCUCGGGACACGGAGUCGGCGAGGUUACUUUGAGUAAAUUAGAGUGUUCAAAGCAGGCCUACGCUCUGAAUACAUUAGCAUGGAAUAACACGAUAGGACUCUGGCCUAUCUUGUUGGUCUGUAGGACCGGAGUAAUGAUUAAGAGGGACAGUCGGGGGCAUUCGUAUUUCAUUGUCAGAGGUGAAAUUCUUGGAUUUAUGAAAGACGAACUACUGCGAAAGCAUUUGCCAAGGAUGUGUUCAUUAA
This 377-nucleotide ribosomal RNA is filed under the name uncultured eukaryote. Its description in RNAcentral is "partial 18S ribosomal RNA". It matches the Rfam family "Eukaryotic small subunit ribosomal RNA", at positions 592 to 976 of the family's 1831-position model. The record is from RNAcentral.